Molecule: long non-coding RNA, 2212 nt
Organism: Vitis vinifera (wine grape)
Lineage: Eukaryota; Viridiplantae; Streptophyta; Magnoliopsida; Vitales; Vitaceae
Exons: 2
Source: RefSeq, a predicted model, not a curated record
AAGAAGCCAUGAGGCUCUCUUGUGACUUAAGAAGUGAAAGUGCAUGUCAAAAUAUUUAAAUCUAUACACACACACCAAUCAAUUUAGGUGCAGAACUAUAAAAAGAGAAUAUAGCAUUGUAGUUGAAGCCAGAAGUUAGAACAUCAAGUUAGAAUAGUUAUAGAAAAAAAUUUGAUACUUAAGGUUUCAUUUAGAUACACUUUAUUUAUUUAUUUAUUUUAAGAAGAAAUAAUAAUACAUUCCAUAUAAAAUAUAAGAACUCUUAUACAAAAAGUAUGAACUUACUAUAUGUUCUUUAAAAUUUUAAAAUUUAAGAUAGUAAAAAAAUUUUAAUACCUCAAUUUUUUAUAAACUAUUAUCCUUUUGAGGUAAGUCUUUUAAAAAAUUUACAUUUUAUAUAGGAGUUACUAUUAUUUUUUAAACAAUUGCACAUGAAUUUAUUGAUUAUUUAAGAAAUGAAAGGUUCAAGUGAUUGUGUUUUGGUGAAAUUUUUUGAAGGCCCAAGUUGUGCAACAACUACAAAAUGCUUGUCAGAAAGUUUACAUAUGUAUGUACGAAUACAUGUGUAUAUGUAAUAAAAUCCAAAGGUAGAGAGCGAGGAGUCUAGUAUUGUGGUUAAAAAAUUAAUUUAGAAUAGCAUAAGAGCUAAUCUUGCAUCUAACUUGAUUAUUUAGAAUAAUUGAAGCAAGAAAUUUGAUUAUUAAGUUCAUUGAAUAAUCGUGUUAGCAUUGAUAAAAGAUGUCUUACAAGUUGAAAUAGUUCUAGAAUUGGGGGUGUCUCAUGGAACCAUAAUUUAGCAAGCUGGGAAAUUCAAUAAAAUCUUAUUUGACUUUUAUUUUCCAAGUUAGAGUUUGAGGGAGAGGCCUAAGUUAUUAUCACAUGUUUGAAGGUAUAUCAUUCUUGAAUUUUAAAAAUUGUUUGGGAUUUAAUAUAGAUUUAGACUAUUAUGGGACAUUGGAUGGGAAAUAUUUACCUAUUAUAGACAAUAUUCUCCUUUUCUUUUUGGUUUGUAGAUUGUGAUGUUUAAUUGGAUAAGAAAAUUGAAGUCUUGUUGAAACCUAAAGAGUGAAGGAUACUUGUAUUGGAUUGGGAAUUAAUUUAGCUAGUAUCAAUUUAUCUAGUCUAAAAUAAAAGAAAAAAAGGAAAUUUCUUUUUUUUUGGAUUUGGGUCUGAGAAUUAAUUUCUUGAUGGUGUAGACAUCAUUAAAGGGACGAAAGUGAUAUAAGAAUUGUCAAAUCUUCAUUCUUUUAUCAUCUUUGAUUUUGUUGACAAAAAACAUAAAGCAUCUAGAAAAAAAAAUAGUUUAUAUGGUCAUGUAAUGUCGGGCUUAGGGAUUGACUCUAAUACCUUUUGUAACUAUUUAUUCCCUCCCAUAUAGAUAUUAUUCACUUUGUUCCUAAUGAGCUCUCACACUUUUCAAAGUCAUCCACUUAUUUAAGAGAAAUCCAUUAUAAAGAUAUUAGGACUAUUUUCCCUUAUCUAAUAUGAGAUAUUACAGGUUAUGAUAAUAUUUUUCCUUUUGUCAAAAGUCAAAGGUAGACAUCCAUUUGAAGUUCUACACCAAGAUUCUAAUUAGAGAGUCUCAUUUAUGCAUAGAAGAACCAGGCAAGACUUGAGGUGGUUUAUAAUAUUUAUCAAUAUUGUUGCCAAAAUGUAACCAAGAAUUAGCACUAAAUAAAUAACUACCACUUAUAGAGAACACAAGGAUAAUUAUCCUAUGAUUUUCCCUCCUAUCCAAAUGAAUUUAUGUCCUAAUUCUAUUUUAACUUUCAUCAUUCUAGUUUUUAUCUUUCCUACCCAAUAUGAGACUUUAUGUUUGCUGAAUGCCCAGAACUAUAAAGAGGAAGAUUCUAAGGAAUUGGAUUCUAAUGAUUGAGAUUGUGGGGAAGAGGAUUUUGAAGGAGACAAAUUUUAUAAUCCAUGUAUGCUCGACUUCUCUUUUGAGGAGAUGCAUAGAUUAACAUCCUUAGUAAAGAGGCACCUACUAAUGAUGUUUCCUUUGUUUGAAUCGAACUUGGAAGGUUAUUUAUCUCUAAGUUGGAUAUCUUUAGUAUGUUUUAUUCAAAAGAUUGAACUCUAUAAGUUGCUACAAUUCAAUUAUCUAUGAUCUAAAAUGUGAGUGAAUUUAAGAUUUUGUGCACCUUAUAUUUUAUUAGUAUUAUUUUUGCUUAUGUGAACUGAUAUUAAAUACAAACUUUUUUGUUGAGGGUCA